GACGAACGCUGGCGGCGUGCUUAACACAUGCAAGUCGAACGGAAAGGCCCUGCUUUCGUGGGGUGCUCGAGUGGCGAACGGGUGAGUAACAUGUGAGUAACCUGCCCUUGACUUUGGGAUAACUUCAGGAAACUGGGGCUACUACCGGAUAGGAGCUCCUGCUGCAUGGUGGGGGUUGGAAAGUUUCGGCGGUUGGGGAUGGACUGGCGGCUUAUCAGCUUGUUGGUGGGGUAGUGGCCUACCAAGGCUUUGACGGGUAGCCGGCCUGAGAGGGUGACCGGCCGCAUUAGGACUGAGGUACGGACCAGACUCCUACGGGAGGCAGCAGUGGGGAAUAUUGCACAAUGGGCGGGAGCCUGUUGCAGCAACGCCGCGUGCGGGAUGACGGCCUUCGGGUUGUAAACCGCUUUCGCCUGUGACGAAGCGUGAGUGACGGUAAUAGGUAAAGAAGCACCGGCUAACUACGUG
RNAcentral lists this ribosomal RNA (468 nucleotides) under uncultured bacterium. Its description in RNAcentral is "partial 16S ribosomal RNA". It matches the Rfam family "Bacterial small subunit ribosomal RNA", at positions 28 to 507 of the family's 1533-position model. The record is from RNAcentral.